This 102-nucleotide small RNA is filed under the name Escherichia coli. RNAcentral describes it as "partial RtT sRNA". It matches the Rfam family "RtT RNA", at positions 31 to 130 of the family's 130-position model. From Rfam's summary of the family: This family represents a bacterial cis-regulatory element known as RtT RNA. The exact function of RtT is unknown although it is thought that it may be involved in changing the cellular response in relation to amino acid starvation. The record is from RNAcentral. Lineage: Bacteria; Pseudomonadati; Pseudomonadota; Gammaproteobacteria; Enterobacterales; Enterobacteriaceae.
UUCGACCAAGGUUUGACUUGAGCGCCAGCGAGAGAGCGUUGCCGCAGGCAACGACCCGAAGGGCGAAGCGUGCAGCGCUGAGUAAUCCUUCCCCCACCACCA